This 256-nucleotide ribosomal RNA is filed under the name uncultured bacterium. RNAcentral describes it as "partial 16S ribosomal RNA". It matches the Rfam family "Bacterial small subunit ribosomal RNA", at positions 524 to 776 of the family's 1533-position model. The record is from RNAcentral.
CACGUAGGGUGCGAGCGUUGUCCGGAAUUAUUUGGGCGUAAAGAGCUCGUAGGCGGUGUGUCGCGUCGGCCGUGAAAACCUGCAGCUUAACUGUGGGCUUGCGGUCGAUACGGGCAUCACUGGAGUUCGGCAGGGGGAGACUGGAAUUCCUGGUGUAGCGGUGAAAUGCGCAGAUAUCAGGAGGAACACCGGUGGCGAAGGCGGGUCUCUGGGCCGAUACUGACGCUGAGGAGCGAAAGCGUGGGGAGCGAACAGG